ACACUUCACCAGAGCUCGGCACUGGGCCGUCUAAGCAAUCAGAGCCGCGCUAAACGCUGUAUGUUACUGUAAAUGCCCUCUCCACCCCUUGGGGCUGAGAUCAGUUUUCACGAGAGGAAGUUCUCUGUAAGCAUGGAACCAGCAGCAGUCUUCCUUUGAAUGCCUGCGUAUAUUCCAGAAGGUGGAUGAGGAAGAACGUGGACUGAAGCAAAUAUUUAUGUCCACAGAUUUCUGGAUGGCUUUUACAUUUUAGAAAUUAAAAAUGGGUUUUUAGAGAUAAAACAUACUGUGUGGAAGUGGAGACAAAUGCACUGUAAGGUCAUGAAAAUAUGAAACCACGUUCCCAUCACUGGGGAUGAUUUUAAACGCUUAUUUAGAAAACAAGCAAUGUGGAAUUGCAUGUUCUGUUCAAAUGGAAAAUAAUAAUGGGAGGU
Oxyura jamaicensis (ruddy duck) is the source of this 434-nucleotide long non-coding RNA. RefSeq lists it as uncharacterized. The transcript has 2 exons. Lineage: Eukaryota; Metazoa; Chordata; Aves; Anseriformes; Anatidae. The record is from RefSeq and is a predicted model, not a curated record.